RNAcentral lists this ribosomal RNA (500 nucleotides) under Biremis blandi. Its description in RNAcentral is "partial large subunit ribosomal RNA". It matches the Rfam family "Bacterial large subunit ribosomal RNA", at positions 1932 to 2622 of the family's 2925-position model. Lineage: Eukaryota; Metazoa; Annelida; Polychaeta; Terebellida; Terebellidae. The record is from RNAcentral.
UGCGGUAUCCUGACCGUGCUAAGGUAGCGUGAUAAGUCGCCCUUUAAUUGUGGGCUUGUAUGAACGGAUAAACGAAAGACUCCCUGUCUCCUAAGAAAAAAUAAAAAUUGACCUUCAGGUGAAGAGACCUGAAUAAAAAUAAAGGACAAGAAGACCCUGUAGAGCUUAGUUCAUAAUAAAUUAUAUCCACAUACUUAUUUUCCCCAAUACUGUAUACAAAUUUAGUUUAUAAAAACUUAGCUGGGGCGGCUAAGGAAAUCAAUCUUCCAUUUCCAUAAUUUAAACCGGUUCUAUCUUAAACCAAUAUAAAUUGACCCUCCAAAGAUCAAAAAAUAAAGCUACCUCAGGGAUAACAGAUUAAUCCUUCUCGAGAGUUCACAUUGACAGAAGGGCUUGACACCUCGAUGUUGGCUUAAGGUACCCAAUAGAUCCGCAGCAGUCUAUAAAGGUAGGUUUGUUCAACCUUUAAAACCUUACAUGAUCUGAGUUCAAACCGGAGA